AGUGAACGCUGGCGGUAGGCCUAACACAUGCAAGUCGAACGGCAGCACAGUAAGAGCUUGCUCUUACGGGUGGCGAGUGGCGGACGGGUGAGGAAUACAUCGUAAUCUACUUUUUCGUGGGGGAUAACGUAGGGAAACUUGCGCUAAUACCGCAUACGACCUACGGGUGAAAGCAGGGGAUCUUCGGACCUUGCGCGAUUGAAUGAGCCGAUGUCGGAUUAGCUAGUUGGCGGGGUAAAGGCCCACCAAGGCGACGAUCCGUAGCUGGUCUGAGAGGAUGGUCAGCCACACUGGAGCUGAGACACGGUCCAGACUCCUACGAGAGGCAGCAGUGUGGAAUAGUGGACAAUGGGCGCAAGCCUGAUCCAGCCAUACCGCGUGGGUGAAGAAGGCCUUCGGGUUGUAAAGCCCUUUUGUUGGGAGAGAAAAGCAGCAGGUUAAUACCACGCUGUUCUGACGGUACCCAAAGAAGAAGCACCGGCUAACUUCGUG
RNAcentral lists this ribosomal RNA (492 nucleotides) under uncultured bacterium. Its description in RNAcentral is "partial 16S ribosomal RNA". It matches the Rfam family "Bacterial small subunit ribosomal RNA", at positions 29 to 507 of the family's 1533-position model. The record is from RNAcentral.